RNAcentral lists this long non-coding RNA (540 nucleotides) under Elaeis guineensis (African oil palm). RNAcentral's name for it is "long non-coding RNA (EGUI_LNC041539)". The record is from RNAcentral. Lineage: Eukaryota; Viridiplantae; Streptophyta; Magnoliopsida; Arecales; Arecaceae.
UAGGAGAUCAAGUUCAAAUCAAAGUCCAAAAUCAAUUCUGACCGUCCGAUUAUGAUCGGCUCACAUUGUGGCCGUCCGAUCAUGCAAUUAGACAUCCCCAGGCUCCUGAUCAAAAUCAAAAAGCCCCUCAACUGUCUGAUCACGAUCGGCUCACUCUAGAGCCAUCGGAUCAUGCUUCGAUCCAUGCCAUCAUUUGUGAGCCACGACAAAGCGCAGUCCAUUGUGGACCGCGAUACCUAGACGGGCUUGGGCGCCUAUGCUCGUGGGCCGCAUGCAUGCAUGGGUCAACCCAAAUGGAGUCCGGAUGAAGAAGAUAUGCAUGAGGGAGCAGGUUGGGAGCAGCUGGUAUGAUCCAUAGGUCGUCGGAGGGGCCCACAGGCUGGUGCAGGCCAGAGGCGGCAUGGGCUAGGCUCGACAGCAUGCUGGCGCUGCUGGCAAAGAACAACAAUAGAGGAAAGAAUUCUAAUAGAGUUGGGGGUGAGCUGAGCAGGAACUACCUCAUACAAAUUAAAAAUAUUGACAAAGAAAGGAUGUACAGGA